AUGCAAAUUUUUGUGUGAAUUUUUAUUUAUUUUAAAAGUAAAUAAUUUUCUAAUAUUCGCAGUAAUUGAUAUUAUUAAUUAAGGAAACUUAGAAAUAGAUAUAUUAAUUAGUAUUGACUAAAUUUGUGCCAGCAGUCGCGGUUAGACGAAUAAUGCAAAUAAAUUUUAUUAGUAAAAGUUAAAUAAUUUUAGUUAUAAAUGUAUAAUAAAUUUAUUAAGUGAAAUUUUAAAUUUAUGUAAGUUUUAUUAGAAAAUUAAUUGAAGCUUAGAAAUUUUAAUUAAAAACUAGGAUUAGAUACCCUAUUAUUUAAAAUGUAGCUAUUUGCUUAGGUAGUAUUAGAUAUGUUCUUGAAACUUAAAAAAUUUGGCGGUAUUUUAGUCUAUUCAGAGGAACCUGUUCUAUAAUCGAUAAUCCACGAUGGACCUUACUUAAUUAUGUUUUACAGUUUAUAUACCGUCGUUAUUAGAAUAUUUUAUAAGAAUAAUAAUUUUCUAAAAUUUUUAUUAAAAUUUAUAUCAGAUCAAGGUGUAGCUUAUGGUUAAGAAGAAAUGGGUUACAAUAAAUUUAUUUAUAUGGAUGUAAGUAUGAAAAACUUAUUGAAAGUGGAUUUGGUAGUAAAAUUAUAAAGAUUAAUAAUUUGACUUUAGCUCUAAGAUAUGUACACAUCGCCCGUCACUCUUAUUAUUAAGAUAAGAUAAGUCGUAACAUAGUAGAUGUA
Molecule: ribosomal RNA, 719 nt
Filed under: Compsobata sp. YSUW04008
Lineage: Eukaryota; Metazoa; Arthropoda; Insecta; Diptera; Micropezidae
Description: partial 12S ribosomal RNA
Source: RNAcentral